RNAcentral lists this ribosomal RNA (443 nucleotides) under uncultured bacterium. RNAcentral's name for it is "partial 16S ribosomal RNA". It matches the Rfam family "Bacterial small subunit ribosomal RNA", at positions 338 to 795 of the family's 1533-position model. The record is from RNAcentral.
CCUACGUGUGGCAGCAGUGGGGAAUAUUGGGCAAUGGGCGCAAGCCUGACCCAGCAACGCCGCGUGAAGGAAGAAGGCUUUCGGGUUGUAAACUUCUUUUGUCAGGGACGAAGCAAGUGACGGUCCCUGACUAAUAAGCCACGGCUAACUACGUGCCAGCAGCCGCGGUAAUACGUAGGUGGCAAGCGUUAUCCGGAUUUACUGGUUGUAAAGGGCGUGUAGGCGGGACUGCAAGUCAGAUGUGAAAACCACGGGCUCAACCUGUGGCCUGCAUUUGAAACUGUAGUUCUUGAGUACGGGAGAGGCAGACGGAAUUCCUAGUGUAGCGGUGAAAUGCGUAGAUAUUAGGAGGAACACCAGUGGCGAAGGCGGUCUGCUGGACAGCAACUGACGCUGAGGCGCGAAAGCGUGGGGAGCAAACAGGAUUAGAUACCCGAGUAGUC